GACGAACGCUGGCGGCGUGCUUAACACAUGCAAGUCGAACGGAAAGGCCCUGCUUUUGUGGGGUGCUCGAGUGGCGAACGGGUGAGUAACACGUGAGUAACCUGCCCUUGACUUUGGGAUAACUUCAGGAAACGGGGGCUAAUACCGGAUAGGAGCUCCUGCUGCAUGGUGGGGGUUGGAAAGUUUCGGCGGGUGGGGAUGGACUCGCGGCUUAUCAGCUUGUUGGUGGGGUAGUGGCUUACCAAGGCUUUGACGGGUAGCCGGCCUGAGAGGGUGACCGGCCACAUUGGGACUGAGAUACGGCCCAGACUCCUACGGGAGGCAGCAGUGGGGAAUAUUGCACAAUGGGCGGAAGCCUGAUGCAGCAACGCCGCGUGCGGGAUGACGGCCUUCGGGUUGUAAACCGCUUUCGCCUGUGACGAAGCGUGAGUGACGGUAAUGGGUAAAGAAGCACCGGCUAACUACGUG
Molecule: ribosomal RNA, 468 nt
Filed under: uncultured bacterium
Lineage: Bacteria
Description: partial 16S ribosomal RNA
Rfam family: Bacterial small subunit ribosomal RNA
Source: RNAcentral